This 458-nucleotide ribosomal RNA is filed under the name uncultured bacterium. Its description in RNAcentral is "partial 16S ribosomal RNA". It matches the Rfam family "Bacterial small subunit ribosomal RNA", at positions 338 to 795 of the family's 1533-position model. The record is from RNAcentral.
CCUACGGAGGCUGCAGUGAGGAAUAUUGGUCCAUGGGCGGAAGCCUGAACCAGCCAAGUAGCGUGCGGGAUGAAGGCCCUACGGGUCGUAAACCGCUUUUGCACGGGGAUAACACCCUCCACUGGUGGAGGUCUGCAGGUACUGUUCGCAUAAGGGCCAGCUAAUUCCGUGCCAGUAGCCGCGGUCAUACGGAAGGCUCGAUCGUUAUCCGGAUCCAGUGGGCUUGAAGGGAGCGUAGGCGGGCGUUCAAGUCUGCUGUAAAAUUGCGCGGCUCAACCGCGACCCGCAGUUGAACCUGGACGGCUUGAGUUCACGAGAGGCAGGCGGAAUUCGUGGUGUAGCGGUGAAAUGCAUAGAUAUUAGGAGGAACACCAGUGGCGAAGGCGGCUUACUGGACUGCAACUGACGUUGAGGCUCGAAAGCGUGGGGAGCAAACAGGAUUAGAUACCCCUGUAGUC